AUGGGAGCUACCAGAGAAGGCGAAUAUGGGGAGAAGGACUGGUACUUUUACUGUCGAAAGGACCGAAAGUACCCCACCAGGAUACGAACCAACCGGGCGACGAAAGUUGGCUAUUGGAAGGCCACCGGAAAGGACAAGGAGAUCUUCCACCCAUCGCUCACGCUCAUCGGCAUGAAGAAGACAAUUGUCCUCUUCAUGGGCCGGGCGUCUAGGGGGGAGAAGACUAACCUGAUCAUGCAUGAGUAUAGUCUCGAGAGCAACAAGCAACUGACAUACAACCCAUCCAUCGCCAUCUCCAGUUUCACCACCACCAACGCGGCUUCCAAGGGACAGUGGGUGGUUUGCAGGAUCUUCCAUAAGAGCACCGGACUAAAGAAGGUGGUGAUGCCGUUAUAUGCCAUGCCAAUGUCCAUGGGAGCAGAACAUCAGCAGGGCUUCGUCAACUUUGAUACAUUGCCUCCUCUCAUGAACUAUGACAUGUGGUCAACAUUGGCCCAUCCACCGCUGUUUCCUGGAGCUUCGUACCAGUUGCAUGACGUUGAGGCAUGCUCAUCGGUGAUAGUUAGUUUGGCGCUUCCUAUGAUGAAUGGCCACUACUUUGGGAACCAACACCACCAGAUGAUGGUCACCCCAAUGCUGUCGUUAUCGCUCUAG
This 654-nucleotide ribosomal RNA is filed under the name Triticum aestivum (bread wheat). RNAcentral's name for it is "partial small subunit ribosomal RNA". Lineage: Eukaryota; Viridiplantae; Streptophyta; Magnoliopsida; Poales; Poaceae. The record is from RNAcentral.